This is a long non-coding RNA of Helicoverpa armigera (cotton bollworm), 368 nucleotides long. RefSeq lists it as uncharacterized. The record is from RefSeq and is a predicted model, not a curated record. The transcript has 3 exons. Lineage: Eukaryota; Metazoa; Arthropoda; Insecta; Lepidoptera; Noctuidae.
UAGACAGACGUUAUUUUGAAUAUAAAUCCUGUUUAUUAAUUUAAUCCUAAUGUUUAUAAUUAAAAGCUUAUUGUUGUUACUACAAGUAAUAUUGUUUGUUGAUUGUCAUCUUGUUGGAGAUAAAGUUGUAGUGUCUGAGUUGAAGAAGGUUUGUGAACAUGCGUACAUAUGCUUUCAUGACAUGGUCAUCGUUUGCGGCAAGUCGGUUAACGAGGCGAGAACAUUUUUAGACUUGUGUGAUCUGUACGAGUAUUCCUGCGAACAUAAUAUGGUUUUCAGGCACGUGAAAGAAGAAGAAGGCGUUUGUCCAAACCCAAGGGAACUGCCAUCAGGCUUCGGAUAAUUUCAGCUAAUAUUAUAUUAAAUUU